Musa acuminata AAA Group (dessert banana) is the source of this 1687-nucleotide long non-coding RNA. RefSeq lists it as uncharacterized. NCBI's taxonomy places the organism in Eukaryota, Viridiplantae, Streptophyta, Magnoliopsida, Zingiberales, Musaceae. The record is from RefSeq and is a predicted model, not a curated record. The transcript is spliced from 2 exons.
UGACAAUGGCAGACCUCUUUUGGCAUCUAGCACUUUCUUUUCUGAAUAAGUAGAUUAUUGCUAGCAUGAAAAUGAUGUGUGGUUUGAGUAGUGUGAUAAUAUAUUUGUCUGAUUUCCACUUUGCUGGUUUUCCAAUUCUACAUGAGAUUACCAGUUCAUAAUACCUGGUGGAGAUUUUUAUUUGAGACCCUACAUGUUUAAGACAUGGCAAAUUAUAUCUGAAUUAUGAGCUUUCGAGGCUGGUUAAUGCUGUGUAAAGUCGACGAUCGAUGAACCGAAGUUUUCAGGUAACUAAUUACUUGUCUUUUUGGUUGAUCACUUUGAUGCAAAUGUCAAGAGACCUAUUCUCAGCUGGAAAGGUCUUCUGACACUCGAGUACUAUGCAGAUUUCUUCUAAUUGCCUUCCUAAUCAUCUCCAGCAAAGGACAGUAGUUUUCAGAAAGAAAAGUAGCAGCAUUGUUCUUGGCUUUGCUAUGAUUUACCACUCACAGCAAAAAGCUAAUGUCAUUUUGCUUCCAUUCUUGAAAUGUGAUGUACAAAUGUUGCACUUGCAGUUUUCCAUCACAACCUUUUCCAAUAAACAAAUCUACUUCACCAGAAUUUAGUAGUUCUUAGCCUUCUUUCUUUCCUGUUUGGCUUCAGUAUCAGGCUGCUUGCUCACUCUGAUGUUAUAACCAUAAGAUUGAUCCAAAUAUGCCUACAAAGAUAUGUGUACAGGAUGUUCUUUUCGGCUAUAUCUUUGUUUGUCUGGAUGACAGGAAUGUUAGUAAACCAGAGUGUUCAUCCCAACACAGGAAACAGUAGGGAGGAGGUUUUGUCUUGUUCUUGGACACCAGCAUCUUGAAGACUCUUUUUGACUCCAUUUCCUGUCUUCCCAAAGGCACUGACACACCUCACUAUCCUCUUCUCUUGUUCUUGAAAGACCAGAUGGAACCUACAAGGUUGUCCAGGGCAGUAGCUAAACAUCCAUCAUUAGCAUUCUGAAGGUGAAUGAUAUAAGCUGUGCUUGUUUCCAUCUUGCCAUCAGAAUUCGAGUCUCAGGCUGAUGAGCAGAAAAAGUGAUCUGAUAUCAAUAGUCAAGGUUGAAUGAGUUUCAAAUUAAACUCUCACAAAUCUGACCUCCGAACGAGCUUAUAUCGAUCAGAUUUCAAGUAAACUGAUACAUUUCUGCAAUCCAUGAACAUUUGAAACAGUUGCAGGUAGGAAUUCUUGCACCAGUCGACAUAAGUUGGAACUAAUUCCUGGCUCAAACAUGCUUGUUCUUCGGCUGCACUCAGGUCUUGAAAUGGUGAGGAUGCUUCAUCAAACUUGGAUCAAACCUGCUUAUUGAUGCUUCAUCAACUACGUGUUCAAAGGACACAUGAAAGGAUGCUGAAAAGGGUGGGAAGAAAGUUGAUGCAUUAUUUCUUCAGCAAAGAUGCAGCAGCAGCAGCAGCAGGAACGAUGAUUGGGUCUUCCACCAAUCUGUCAUGGAAUUUUUUGAGUACGGAGUAGACCAGGAGUUGACAUCUGCUACCCCAUCUCUGCACUCUCUUCUGUCUGUGUUGAAUAGGCUCAAGCACCAUAUGGUAGAAUUAGGCCUAAAAGACCAAAUCCUUUGUGCAAACAGAUUGAAAUCAAGUAGCCUUCUUCUUCUUUUUUGUCUCAGCCAAUAUAUCGAUUUCCAGUAAAGCAAAACUUUGGUAUA